UUCUUGCGUGAGGGAUAGAUGCGGCAUCCUUUUGUGAAGCGUUAGCGGAACAAAAGAUACAGCUAAUAGCCCGACCCGCA
Molecule: small RNA, 80 nt
Filed under: Flavobacterium segetis
Lineage: Bacteria; Pseudomonadati; Bacteroidota; Flavobacteriia; Flavobacteriales; Flavobacteriaceae
Description: Flavo-1 RNA
Rfam family: Flavo-1 RNA
Source: RNAcentral